AUAUUAAUAAGCGGAGGAAAAGAAAACAACUGUGAUUCCCUUAGUAAUGGCGAAUGAAACGGGAAGAGCCCAAGUUGAAAAUCCGAAAGGAAUUGUAAUCUAUAGUUCUGAUCCGAAGUAUGGUACGACGUCUAAGAUGCUCUGGAACGAGCCGCCGUGGAAGGUGAUAGCCCUGUAUGGUGUCGUAUCUGCGUAGGUGAAAGUUCGAAGAGUCGGUCACCCUGGAAUCGGUGACCUAAAUGGGAGAUAAACUUCUUCUAAGGCUAAAUAACUAUGGGAGACCGAUAGCGCACAAGUA
Molecule: ribosomal RNA, 298 nt
Filed under: uncultured eukaryote
Lineage: Eukaryota
Description: partial large subunit ribosomal RNA
Rfam family: Eukaryotic large subunit ribosomal RNA
Source: RNAcentral